CAACAGGGAUUGCCCUAGUAACGGCGAGUGAAGCGGCAACAGCUCAAAUUUGAAAUCUGGCUUCGGCCCGAGUUGUAAUUUGCAGAGGAUGUUUCUGGCGCGGUGCCUUCCGAGUUCCCUGGAACGGGACGCCAUAGAGGGUGAGAGCCCCGUAUGGUUGGAUACCAAGCCUGUGUGAAACUCCUUCGACGAGUCGAGUAGUUUGGGAAUGCUGCUCAAAAUGGGAGGUAAAUCUCUUCUAAAGCUAAAUAUUGGCCAGAGACCGAUAGCGCACAAGUAGAGUGAUCGAAAGAUGAAAAGCACCUUGAAAAGGGGGUUAAACAGUACGUGAAAUUGUUGAAAGGGAAGCGCUCAUGACCAGACUUGUGCUGGGCAGCUCAUCCGGGGUUCUCCCCGGUGCAUUCUGCCCAGUUCAGGCCAGCAUCGAUUUUUGCUGGGGGAUAAGAACGGUAGGAACGUGGCCCUCCUUCGGGAGGGUGUUAUAGCCUACCGUACGAUACCCUAGCGGAGAUCGAGGUUCGCGCAUCUGCAAGGAUGCUGGCGUAAUGGUCAUCAGCGACCCGUCUUGAAACACGGACCAAGGAGUCGUCCAUUAGAGCGAGCGUUUGGGUGUAAAACCCGCACGCGUAAUGAAAGUGAAAUUAGGUGAGAGCUUCGGCGCAUCAUCGACCGAUCCUGAUGUUCUCGGAUGGAUUUGAGUAAGAGUUUUAACGGACGGACCCGAAAGACAGUGAACUAUGCUUGUAUAGGGUGAAGCCAGAGGAAACUCUGGUGGAGGCUCGCAGCGGGUUCUGACGUGCAAAUCGAUCGUCAAAUAUGAGCAUGGGGGCGAAAGACUAAUCGAACUGUCUAGUAGCUGGUUACCGCGAG
RNAcentral lists this ribosomal RNA (870 nucleotides) under Coniella vitis. RNAcentral's name for it is "partial large subunit ribosomal RNA". It matches the Rfam family "Eukaryotic large subunit ribosomal RNA", at positions 66 to 964 of the family's 3401-position model. The record is from RNAcentral. Lineage: Eukaryota; Fungi; Ascomycota; Sordariomycetes; Diaporthales; Schizoparmaceae.